This is a non-coding RNA of Merluccius polli (Benguela hake), 72 nucleotides long. Lineage: Eukaryota; Metazoa; Chordata; Actinopteri; Gadiformes; Merlucciidae. The record is from the annotation of a GenBank genome assembly.
GGCUCAUUGGUCUAGGGGUAUGAUUCUCACUUAGGGUGCUAGAGGACCCAGGUUCAAACACCGGACGAGCCC